AAAAAAACAACACACACACAAGAAAGAAGGGAACAAUAUUUGUGGAAAAAUAAAACAACAAAACAAAGAGAGAAAAAAGGAGAAGGGAGAAAAAGAAGGAGAUAUGAGAUUAAAAAAAAAUAUACUGACAAAAAAGAGAAGAAAAGAAGGAAACAGUGAGAAACCAAAACUUGAAAAAAAAUGCAUGCAAGAAAACAAGAAAAAAAUAGGAAGAAAACAAAAAUAAAAGCGCGAUGAGUUGAGGUUCUGUUCGAGUUUCUGAAAAUCGUUUGUACUUUCUUUAAUCAAUUCAUCUUUUAGGUUCUUAUCCAUUUUGUACCAUUUUAUAAGUUUUGAGUUGAUUGAAGCAUGAUUAACGUUAUUCUUAUGUGUUUUUACAUUAUUUAUUAUGUGUAAUUUGCUAUUUAUAUGUAAUUUGCGUCUACGUCUUUAUUUAUAAUUCUUGUGUUAUUUUUCAAAAUAAUGUUAAUUAGAUUGAAUUUGAAUUAAAAAUGAGAUAAUAUUUAAAGUUAUUUGUGUUUAAAUAUGUAAAUUG
Molecule: long non-coding RNA, 535 nt
Filed under: Capsicum annuum
Lineage: Eukaryota; Viridiplantae; Streptophyta; Magnoliopsida; Solanales; Solanaceae
Description: long non-coding RNA (CANN_LNC021171)
Source: RNAcentral